RNAcentral lists this transfer RNA (71 nucleotides) under Leiodon cutcutia (ocellated pufferfish). RNAcentral describes it as "tRNA-Met". It matches the Rfam family "tRNA". Rfam says of the family: Transfer RNA (tRNA) molecules are approximately 80 nucleotides in length. Their secondary structure includes four short double-helical elements and three loops (D, anti-codon, and T loops). Lineage: Eukaryota; Metazoa; Chordata; Actinopteri; Tetraodontiformes; Tetraodontidae. The record is from RNAcentral.
AAUAAAGUCAGCUAAAGAUAAGCUCUUAGGCCCAUACCCUAAAGAUGUUGGUUCAAAUCCUUCCUUUAUUA